UACGGAAGGCAGCAGUGGGGAAUAUUGCACAAUGGGCGCAAGCCUGAUGCAGCCAUGCCGCGUGUAUGAAAAAGGCCUUCGGGUUGUAAAGUACUUUCAGUCGUGAGGAAGGUGUUAAGGUUAAUAACCUUAGCAAUUGACGUUAGCGACAGAAGAAGCACCGGCUAACUCCGUGCCAGCAGCCGCGGUAAUACGGAGGGUGCGAGCGUUAAUCGGAAUUACUGGGCGUAAAGGGCACGCAGGCGGUUAAUUAAGUUGGAUGUGAAAUCCCCGGGCUUAACCUGGGAAUGGCAUUCAAGACUGGUUAGCUAGAGUCUUGUAGAGGGGGUAGGAUUCCAUGUGUAGCGGUGAAAUGCGUAGAGAUGUGGAGGAAUACCGGUGGCGAAGGCGGCCCCUGGACAAAGACUGACGCUCAUGUGCGAAAGCGUGGGGAGCAAACAGGGAUUAGAUACC
Molecule: ribosomal RNA, 453 nt
Filed under: uncultured bacterium
Lineage: Bacteria
Description: bacterial SSU rRNA
Rfam family: Bacterial small subunit ribosomal RNA
Source: RNAcentral